UGCCUCCCAAGUUACAGAGGAUAACUUGUAAGAAUAAAUUCUCUGUUUCUGUCUUUGGGUCCCAGAGAGAUUUCUCAGAGAGAAUUGUCCCAAAUCACAGAAGAAAAGCAUCCUUUUCCAGAUGAUGGGGCCCUGGGAGGUUUUGAAGCAGAAAGUCCAAGCAGCAUGGGAAUGGCUCAUACAAAGGCAUGUAGCUGUAUUGGCCUCAUGGCCAUCUUGUCACGCUGGUAGGAAUUCACACAAGAAGGAUCACAAUAGCUAGAGAAGGACCAGUAAGCAGUCAGUGCUUACUAAGAGAUCUUGCCUCUGAAAUAUCCACUACCACACUGCUAUUAGCAUCUAAAUCUUUGGGAGAACAUUCACCCUAUUAUAUUCAGCUUACCAGUCAGAAGCAUCUUCUUAAUUGCUUUCUGUUUUGUGGGCCAAGUAACCGAAGUAAAAGUCAUUUCAACUUGCUGAAUGCCAACCAGCUUGUGUAUGUAGACACCAAUGAUUGGCCAGAUGGGAAACUGACAGAUGAUUUGGUAUGUUCUUGAGGCAAACUGAGAGAGGCAUGAGGCCAGGCCUUGAACAUGGAUGAAUGGUUGUCCAGGUAACUCCCAGGAGACACUAAUCAGGAAUGUGUUUUCCCUGACCCAGGGUUAUGCACCUUCUGCUCCCCACACCAAAACACUCUAUACCUCUAGAGGCCAACUUGGUAGGCCAUCCGCUAUCCAUUGAACUAAGAGAUUCUUUGCCCAAUGGCACUGCACUCUCUGAAGGUGCACUGCCUGUGAUAAAACUGGUUCCUACAUGGCCCCUGAACACACUGCACAUCUUCUGGACAAUGUGGUCAAGUCCGGAUGUGUCAGGAGCUCUGCACACUCUCAUAAGCAAGGCAGCUCAGGCAGGGUCUCAUGUGCUCUCCUUCCAGUCUUCUUCUGUCUGACAAGAAUUACUGCAGGAGAUUGAGCCAGAGGUCUUCUGCAAUGACCUGAAAGGAGGUGAGGCAAGUGUCUCUCUAGCUUCUGGGGUCAGAGUCCCUCGCCAGCCUAAGGGCCUUUAAGGACACAUGACAGUCCUUUUGGGAAUAAGACGACCAGAGCACACCACUUCAGCCAGCCUGUUAUCUCCUAGGAAAUUGUGGGCAAACAACCAGUCCAGGAAAGUUAGCCUCCAGGGUUCCUGCUGGUAAAUGGGAGCAGCAAGGCCAAGGGCUUGUCAGUUGAGAGUUGAGAGUGCUUGGCUGUGCAGAUUCCACAGUGCUUAACUGAAAACAGUCAGAAGUAUCUGACUUUUCUGAAACACUGCAUUAACUUGCCCCCUAGGUCCACUAUGUAGUGGUCAAAGGGCUCUACUGUCCAAAUCACAAGUUGAGAUAGUAUGGCCUCAGUCAGUUAGUUGUUCAGACGUGUUACAGUCUGACAGUGUGGAUUUUCUUACUGAUUUAGACACUGACAGCUCUGGGAAGAAACAUGCUGUGUCCUUUGGACCAUCAGAUGCUGUCAGCCUGGGACAACCAGAAGUAGUGAGAUGCAGGAUGUCAGAGGACCUUCAGACACUUUGUACUCUAGAUAGGGAAACAUGUGCGUUCUGUUGAGUAGAGCUCUGUGGGGUCAGGCUAGUUGAGUGCUGAGGGUCUGGACCCUCACUACAGUUCACUGUAAGUAGACCGAAAGUUUGAAAUUAUGUGCUCUGGACAGCUUAAAGCCAUAGUUUGCGGAGACAGAUACUGAAGGGUAUUGUGACAGGCUUACCCUUCCCCCCCCCCCCCAUUCCCUCCGCUUUGCUAAAACUCAUUAGGUUACCUUUCCUAAAGCAAGCCAACAAGAUCUACUUCCUCAUACGGCCACUUCCUCCUCCUGAGACUGACUAGCAAGGUCCAGAUGUCAACCUACCAAACGAAGUCCAGCAAACAAAAGCCUACUUUGUCUGGCCUAAUUAAUUAAAUUGGGCAUUUGUCAUGCCCAAAUUGGAAUCAAACAUCCUGUAAAAAUGAAAAUUAAUAUAAAUGAAUGCAUUGAAUUAA
Apodemus sylvaticus (European woodmouse) is the source of this 2008-nucleotide long non-coding RNA. RefSeq lists it as uncharacterized. The transcript has 2 exons. The record is from RefSeq and is a predicted model, not a curated record. NCBI's taxonomy places the organism in Eukaryota, Metazoa, Chordata, Mammalia, Rodentia, Muridae.